Molecule: ribosomal RNA, 305 nt
Filed under: uncultured bacterium
Lineage: Bacteria
Description: bacterial SSU rRNA
Rfam family: Bacterial small subunit ribosomal RNA
Source: RNAcentral
CCUACGGGGGGCAGCAGUGGGGAAUAUUGCACAAUGGGGGAAACCCUGAUGCAGCGACGCCGCGUGAGCGAUGAAGUAUUUCGGUAUGUAAAGCUCUAUCAGCAGGGAAGAAAAUGACGGUACCUGACUAAGAAGCCCCGGCUAACUACGUGCCAGCAGCCGCGGUAAUACGUAGGGGGCAAGCGUUAUCCGGAUUUACUGGGUGUAAAGGGAGCGUAGACGGCGGCGCAAGCCAGAUGUGAAAGCCCGGGGCUCAACUCCGGGACUGCAUUUGGAACUGUGCUGCUAGAGUGUCGGAGAGGCAG